UACGAAGGGGACUAGCGUUGUUCGGAUUUACUGGGCGUAAAGCGCGCGUAGGCGGAUCACUAAGUCAGGGGUGAAAUCCCGAGGCUUAACCUCGGAACUGCCUUUGAUACUGGAGAUCUGGAGAUCGGGAGAGGUUGGUGGAAUUCCGAGUGUAGAGGUGAAAUUCGUAGAUAUUCGGAGGAACACCAGGAGCGAAGGCGGCCAACUGGCCCGAUACUGACGCUGAGGCGCGAAAGCGUGGGGAGCAAACAGG
Molecule: ribosomal RNA, 253 nt
Filed under: uncultured bacterium
Lineage: Bacteria
Description: partial 16S ribosomal RNA
Rfam family: Bacterial small subunit ribosomal RNA
Source: RNAcentral